This 859-nucleotide ribosomal RNA is filed under the name Sistotrema adnatum. RNAcentral describes it as "eukaryotic LSU rRNA". It matches the Rfam family "Eukaryotic large subunit ribosomal RNA", at positions 75 to 943 of the family's 3401-position model. The record is from RNAcentral. Lineage: Eukaryota; Fungi; Basidiomycota; Agaricomycetes; Cantharellales; Hydnaceae.
UUCCCCUAGUAACGGCGAGUGAAGCGGGAAAAGCUCAAAUUUAAAAUCUGGUGGUCUUUGGCUAUCCGAGUUGUAAUCUAGAGAAGUAUUUUCCGCGUUGGACCAUGUACAAGUUUCCUGGAACGGAACGUCAUAGAGGGUGAGAAUCCCGUCCUUGACAUGGACUACCAGUGCUCUGUGAUAUACUCUCAAAGAGUCGAGUUGUUUGGGAAUGCAGCUCAAAAUGGGAGGUAAAUUCCUUCUAAAGCUAAAUAUUGGCGAGAGACCGAUAGCGAACAAGUACCGUGAGGGAAAGAUGAAAAGAACUUUGGAAAGAGAGUUAAACAGUACGUGAAAUUGUUAAAAGGGAAACGCUUGAAGUCAGUCGCAUUUGUUUGGACUCAGCCUUACUUCGGUUUGGUGCAUUUCCUUAUAAAUGGGUCAGCGUCAAUGUUGCUCGGUGGAAAAAGGCGAGGGGAAUGUGGCUCUUUCGGGAGUGUUAUAGCCCUUUGUCAUAUGCAUCGAAUGAUAUUGAGUGGUACAGCAUGCUUUUAGUGGUGCUUGUGCUGGCAUAAUGGCUUUAAGCGACCCGUCUUGAAACACGGACCAAGGAGUCUAACAUAUCUGCGAGUGUUUGGGUGGAAAACCCAAGCGCGUAAUGAAAGUGAUAGCUGGGAACCCCGCAAGGGAGGCACCGGCGCCCCGAGUUGAACUUCUGUGACGCAUCGGAGGUAGAGCAUAUAUGUUGGGACCCGAAAGAUGGUGAACUAUGCCUGAAUAGGGCGAAGCCAGAGGAAACUCUGGUGGAGGCUCGUAGCGAUUCUGACGUGCAAAUCGAUCGUCAAAUUUGGGUAUAGGGGCGAAAGACUAAUCGAACCAU